GGAUUGCAGGCUGNAACCCGCCUGCAUGAAGUUGGAAUCGCUAGUAAUCGCGGAUCAGCAUGCCGCGGUGAAUACGUUCCCGGGCCUUGUACACACCGCCCGUCACACCAUGAGAGUCGGGAACACCCGAAGUCCGUAGCCUAACCGCAAGGAGGGCGCGGCCGAAGGUGGGUUCGAUAAUUGGGGUGAAGUCGUAACAAGGUAAC
Molecule: ribosomal RNA, 206 nt
Filed under: uncultured bacterium
Lineage: Bacteria
Description: partial 16S ribosomal RNA
Rfam family: Bacterial small subunit ribosomal RNA
Source: RNAcentral